RNAcentral lists this ribosomal RNA (156 nucleotides) under Phellinus sp. MPNU 7012. RNAcentral's name for it is "5.8S ribosomal RNA". It matches the Rfam family "5.8S ribosomal RNA". From Rfam's summary of the family: 5.8S ribosomal RNA (5.8S rRNA) is a component of the large subunit of the eukaryotic ribosome. It is transcribed by RNA polymerase I as part of the 45S precursor that also contains 18S and 28S rRNA. Functionally, it is thought that 5.8S rRNA may be involved in ribosome translocation. Lineage: Eukaryota; Fungi; Basidiomycota; Agaricomycetes; Hymenochaetales; Hymenochaetaceae. The record is from RNAcentral.
ACUUUCAACAACGGAUCUCUUGGCUCUCGCAUCGAUGAAGAACGCAGCGAAAUGCGAUAAGUAAUGUGAAUUGCAGAAUUCAGUGAAUCAUCGAAUCUUUGAACGCACCUUGCGCCCCUUGGUAUUCCGAGGGGCAUGCCUGUUUGAGUGUCAUGU